RNAcentral lists this small RNA (440 nucleotides) under Pongo abelii (Sumatran orangutan). Its description in RNAcentral is "processed transcript". Lineage: Eukaryota; Metazoa; Chordata; Mammalia; Primates; Hominidae. The record is from RNAcentral.
GUUCCGCCGAGCCCGUCCCUUGGCGAUGGUGUCGCUGGAUGCUGGGAAGGGAUGGUGGGAAGAGCGUCCAUCCAUUGGAGCGUCACGAAUUAGACAAGGAAGCCUUGGGCUCCCUUGAGAGAGUCACGGUUGCUCCUCCGUUUACCCGCCCUUCAUUGAACUCAUUUACUUGGACAUUCAGAGCGCCGGACAGAGAUCCCUUGGCGCGAACACCCUCGGAGGUCCUCACCACGCUCUGUUGGAAUGACACAGUCGGAUUCCGAAGCUGCGAAGGGUGAGGGAGGGGCUGCAGCCCAGGAGCUGAGGAGGAGAGGCCCGCGCACCCACUGGGGCCAAGUGGUGCGGAAUAACCGGACCGACCCCCGACGCUGCCUGACAGACAGAGUCUCCCUCUGUCGCCCAGGUUGGAGCAGUGGCGCUAUCAUAGCUCACUGCAGCCU